RNAcentral lists this ribosomal RNA (389 nucleotides) under uncultured bacterium. Its description in RNAcentral is "partial 16S ribosomal RNA". It matches the Rfam family "Bacterial small subunit ribosomal RNA", at positions 523 to 918 of the family's 1533-position model. The record is from RNAcentral.
AUACGUAGGGGGCGAGCGUUGUCCGGAAUGAUUGGGCGUAAAGGGCGCGUAGGCGGCCCGGUAAGUCUGGAGUGAAAGUCCUGCUUUUAAGGUGGGAAUUGCUUUGGAUACUGUCGGGCUUGAGUGCAGGAGAGGUAAGUGGAAUUCCCAGUGUAGCGGUGAAAUGCGUAGAGAUUGGGAGGAACACCAGUGGCGAAGGCGACUUACUGGACUGUAACUGACGCUGAGGCGCGAAAGUGUGGAGAGCAAACAGGAUUAGAUACCCUGGUAGUCCACACUGUAAACGAUGAAUGCUAGGUGUUGGAAAAAUCCAGUGCUGAAGUUAACGCAUUAAGUAUUCCGCCUGAGUAGUACGUACGCAAGUAUGAAACUCAAAUGAAUUGACGGGG